GAUGAACGCUGGCGGCGUGCCUAAUACAUGCAAGUCGAGCGAACAGACGAGGAGCUUGCUCCUCUGACGUUAGCGGCGGACGGGUGAGUAACACGUGAAUAACCUACCUAUAAGACUGGGAUAACUUCGGGAAACCGGAGCUAAUACCGGAUAAUAUAUUGAACCGCAUGGUUCAAUAGUGAAAGACGGUUUUGCGGUCACUUAUAGAUGGAUCCGCGCCGCAUUAGCUAGUUGGUAAGGUAACGGCUUACCAAGGCAACGAUGCGUAGCCGACCUGAGAGGGUGAUCGGCCACCCUGGAACUGAGACACGGUCCAGACUCCUACGGGAGGCCGCAGUAGGGAAUCUUCCGCAAUGGGCGAAAGCCUGACGGAGCAACGCCGCGUGAGUGAUGAAGGUCUUCGGAUCGUAAAACUCUGUUAUUAGGGAAGAACAAAUGUGUAAGUAACUAUGCACGUCUUGACGGUACCUAAUCAGAAAGCCACGGCUAACUACGUG
RNAcentral lists this ribosomal RNA (497 nucleotides) under uncultured bacterium. Its description in RNAcentral is "partial 16S ribosomal RNA". It matches the Rfam family "Bacterial small subunit ribosomal RNA", at positions 28 to 507 of the family's 1533-position model. The record is from RNAcentral.